UAGUGGCGGACGGGUGAGUAACGCGUGAGAAUCGGCCCUCAGGUUGGGGACAACCAUUGGAAACGGUGGCUAAUACCGAAUAAGCCUUAUGGUGAAAGAUUAAUUGCCUGGGGAAGAGCUCGCGUCUGAUUAGCUAGUUGGUGGGGUAAAGGCCUACCAAGGCUCCGAUCAGUAACUGGUCUGAGAGGAUGGCCAGUCACACUGGGACUGAGACACGGCCCAGACUCCUACGGGAGGCAGCAGUGGGGAAUUUUCCGCAAUGGGCGCAAGCCUGACGGAGCAAUACCGCGUGGGGGAGGAAGGCUCUUGGGUCGUAAACCUCUUUUCUCAGGGAAGAAUACAAUGACGGUACCUGAGGAAUCAGCAUCGGCUAACUCCGUGCCAGCAGCCGCGGUAAUACGGAGGAUGCAAGCGUUAUCCGGAAUGAUUGGGCGUAAAGCGUCCGCAGGUGGCAGUGUAAGUCUGCUGUCAAAGGUCAGGGCUUAACCCUGAACAGGCAGUGGAAACUACACAGCUAGAGUGCGGUGGGGGCAGAGGGAAUUCCCAGUGUAGCGGUGAAAUGCGUAGAGAUUGGGAAGAACACCGGUGGCGAAAGCGCUCUGCUAGGCCGUAACUGACACUCAUGGACGAAAGCUAGGGGAGCGAAUGGGAUUAGAUACCCCAGUAGUCCUAGCCGUAAACGAUGGAUACUAGGCGUAGCUCGUAUCGACCCGAGCUGUGCCGUAGCUAACACGUUAAGUAUCCCGCCUG
Molecule: ribosomal RNA, 750 nt
Filed under: uncultured cyanobacterium
Lineage: Bacteria; Bacillati; Cyanobacteriota
Description: bacterial SSU rRNA
Rfam family: Bacterial small subunit ribosomal RNA
Source: RNAcentral